This is a long non-coding RNA of Loxodonta africana (African savanna elephant), 8715 nucleotides long. RefSeq lists it as uncharacterized. The record is from RefSeq and is a predicted model, not a curated record. Lineage: Eukaryota; Metazoa; Chordata; Mammalia; Proboscidea; Elephantidae. The transcript is spliced from 3 exons.
UUUUUUUUUUUUUUACUGAUCCUACGUUUGUUUAUUUAGUCCUGCUUAUUUGUUUUGGUUUGUCUGGGCAGCCAGGCCAGCCAUGCUUUGUUGCUGCUUCCUCUAUGGGCAUGUUAGCUCUCCCCAUCUUAGCCAGAUGGGCAGGGCGGGUUGCUUAGCUGUGAUGCAGUGGGGAAGGGCUGGUGGGUAGGAAGGGCAGGGGUCCAGGAUGCUCAGCUGUAGGACAUUUGUACAGGUCUGUUGGGUAGGGAGGGGCACCAGGUUAGGUUGCUCAACUGUGGUUCAGUUGAAUGGAGCUAGCAGGGAGGGAGGAUCAAGCGUCAGGAUGCUCUGCUGCGGAGCAGUAGGGCAGAGCCUGCGGUGGGGGAGGGGUGCAGGGCAAGGUUCCUCAUUUGUGAAACAGUAGGGCAGAGCUGGGAGAGAGGGCCUCUGGCUUGAGGCUGGGUUGUCCAGCUGCAGCACAGAGGAGCAGAGCAGGCAGGGAGUGAAGAGCCUGGGCUGAGCACUCAGCUCAGGGGCAGCAGGGUGGAGCAGGCCGGGAGAUGAAGAUUCAGGCCCAGAAAAAGAGGAAUUACUUGGUCUUACAGCUGCAAGAUCAUACAGUUCUAUUAUUACAGAAUACCUAGUCUGGAGAUAAAUGUUUAUUAAAGCAAGUUGACCUUGGCAAGCUAUAUAACUUUUCUGGACCUUUGUUUCUCAGCGGGAAAAUGAGAGAGCCUGCCCACUGGAAGCCACACACAUUGGAAAUCAAGAGACUCAAUCCUUCUCCUUUUGUUUGUUGUACCCGCACUGUAAAAUGUUGAACUAGUUGCCCAUCUUUAAAAAUUGGGAUUUCAUAUGAAAGUUUGGAUUUCCAGAUUCUUUUGGAAAGUCUGAAGAACUAGAAACAUUAGACCUACAUUCCUUGGUGGUAACAAUAAGCUGGAGCUAAGUAGUUGCAAAACUCAGUAUUUUUAUUCAUUUAUUUUACCUGCCUCCCUGUAUAAGACAUUUGAUUUGUAGUUUCUGCCAGCCUAUAUUUUAUGAGUAAGAUUUAAUAACAAAUUAGUGACAGAGCAGAAGUUAGGACCCAGUAUCUUGACACGCUGUUCAAAUGUGUUGAGCAUACGCCCAUCUUAGGAGACCCUGAAAUUCUUAGGCAUGUCAAAUGUGGAUGUUUCUCUCCAUACCUGUCUCCUUGAAAGUCCCUUCAUGACACAAAGCUAAUAAGGCCACGAUCAUCUCCCAUGUGGCUGUACAGGGAGGCAGCUAUGCUCUUUAAUGUGGGUUGACCUAUGGCAUCCUUACAUAUCCUUCUAAGAAACUUAUCAGCAUCAUGGAUGCUAUAUUCAUCAAAAGCUUCUGGUCUCUGCCUACUUUUCCACACAACUCUGCCAUUGUAUCAAACACCAAUAUCAAAAUAACAGCGAGAUAGCCGAUGUCAAAUCUGGUCCUAAGUCUGAAUUUAUUGUAACACAAGAUGCUUCUGGCCACCUAGGAAAUCACUUUGACAAUAGCUAAGUAUCAAGUUCAAGGAAAAAAUCAAUUCUCAAGAAAUGCUGCAAAAGUAGAAUUUGUGAGCAGCUGUUUAAAUAAUUUAUAAUAGCAGGGUAUAUGACUUUUGAAAAGUAAAAUGUAAGGUUUCAUGUAAAUGACAUUUUUUUCUACUAUGUAUGUCUGAGAGGAUAAGGCAAUCGGGCACCUCCACAUAGAAGGAAAUGUGCUCGAGUGGUGAUGAUCCAGACAGACUUCCUAAGUUUUAUUCUGUCCUUGACCAUUCCCUGUCAUUGACUAAAACUGAUAAGAAGUCCAUAAGCCAACCUACACACCACAUUCUAGCAAGGCACAAUUUUAUGUCUACAAAAAAAGGAAAUGCUGUGUCAUCACUUAUUUGAGGAGGAUAGAAGGAAAACACUUGUUGCCAACUCCUCAUUGCCUGAAAAAUAGGCAUCCUAAUGGUCUUGCAACCUACUUCUGAAGGGUCAGAGCCCUUGAAAACACUAUGGAGUUGAGUUCCACACUAUGGAGUUCAGUUCUACUCAAAACACUCAUGAGGUCACCAUGAGUUGGAGUCAACUCAAUGGCAACUGGUUUGUUGUUUUUGUUUGUUGAUUUUUAAAUGCUGCUAACCUCCAUUUUUAAAACUUUGCCCUUGGGCCUGGGAAGAGCCAAACACCCCCUACAUUCCAGCACUGCUAACUCAUCCUGGGAGGUAGAGACAGUUUCUACUAGCUGAUGUAGAAGACUAGGAAAUUAACUACACGGAUAUAUAGGGGAAAACAUUUUCAGCCACACAGACAGCCAGGACAAAGGUGCUAAGGCAGGAACUUACCUGGCAAAGAGACUAGUGUGACUGGAGCAGAGUAAGGGCAGUGGUUGCAGAGGAAACUAGAGUGAAACUGAGACACUGUCUGACAGGGCUUUUGGUAGGUUACUGUGAGGGCUUUGCUUUAUACUCCUCUGUGCUGGAAGAUCAUCAGAGAGUACUAUGCCAAAACCUGGCAUGUUAGACCAUAUGCUUGUCUGAUUCAAAAUGGCCAAUGCCAGUCCCUUACAGCAAGUCAGGUUAAGCAUGUUUGGAAUGAUUCUGGAUGUGAAUCUACUUUUCAACUGUCAAUUUCAUGAAAUCUAAAUACGAAUUAAGUAAUUCCAAUGAAAAUUUAGCAUCUGAUUAGAAAAAUGAUAAAUGUUUCUUCCCUGGAUUUAAAAAAAUAUAUACAUUGUUGUAAAAUUAUAGGUAACACAACAUUUGUCAAUGUGACACACAGUGAAUUUUAAAGAAUUAGUAUAAGCAACAGUCACCACUCACCUAUCAGUUUGUCAUACUGUGGUGGCUUGCAUCUUGCUGUGAUACUGGGUUUGCCACCAGUAUUUCAAAUAUCAACAGGGUCACUCUUGGAGGACAGGUUUCAGCAGAGCUUCCAGAUUAAGACAGAUUAGGAAGAAAGACCUGGCAAUCUACUUUUGAAAAAAUUGGCCAGUGAAAAACUUAUGAAUAACAGUUGAACAUUGUCUAAUAUAAUGCUAGAAGAUGAGCCCCUUAGGUUAGAAGCCAAAAAAACCCACUGCAGUCGAGUUGAUUCCGACUCAGAAGGCCCUCAAAACACAACUAGGGAAGAAUUGACUCCUCAAAGUAGAAUUGACCUUAAUGAUGUGGAUAGAGCCAAACUUUCGGGACCUUCAUUUGCUGAUGUGGUAAAACUCAAAAUGAGAAGAAACAGCUGCAAACAUACAUUAAUAAUUGGGAAGGUAGAACAUAGGAAACAUGAAUCUAGGAAAAUUGGAAGUCAUCAAAAAUGAAAUGGAAAGCAUAAAGAUCAGUAUCCUAGGUGUUAGUGAGCUGUAAUGGACUGCUAAUGGCCAUUUUGAGUCAGGCAAUCAUAUGGUCUAUUAUGUCAGGAAUGACAAAUUGAAGAGGAAUGAGAUUGCAUUCAUCAUCUAAAAGAACAUGUCAAGAUCUAUCCUGAAGUACAGCUCCAUUAGGGAUAAGAUAAUAUCCAUAUGUCUAUAGGGAAGACAUGGCUAGUCAACUGAAAGAGAUCCGUAUUUGUACCUAUUUGAAAGAAAGGUAAUGCCACGGAAUGUGAAAAUUAUUGAACAAUGUAAUUAAUAUAACAUGCAAGUAAAAUUUUGCUGAAGGUCAUACAAAAGUGGUGGCAGGAGUAAAUUGAUAGGAAAAAGCAGAAAUUCAGGAUGAAUUCAGAGAGGAGCUGGAACAAGGAAUAUUAUUGCCGACUUCUGAUAGAUCUUAGCUGAAACCAAAGAAUACCAGAAAGAUGUUUAUUUCUGUUUUAUUGACUAUGCAAAGGCAUUCAACUGUGUGGAUCAUAACAAAUUAUGGAUAACAUUUUGAAGAGUGGGAGUUCCAGAACACUUAAUUGUACUCAUGAGGAAACUGUACGUAGAGCAGGAAUCAGUCAUUUGAGUAGACCAAAGUCAUACCCAGCAUAUUACGUGACUUAAAGUCAAGAAAGGUGUGGGUCAGGGUUUUAUCCUUUCACGGUAGUUAUUCAAUCUGUAUGCUAAGCAAAUAAUCCCAGAAGCUGGACUAUAUGAAGAAAAAUGCUACAUCAGUUUUGAAGGAAGACUCAAUAACAAACAGUAUUAUGCAGAUAACACAACUUCGCUUGUGGAAAGUGAAGAGGACUUGAAGCACUUACUGAUGAAGAUCAAAGAUCAUUUCAGUAUGGAUUACACCUCAACAUAAAGAAAACAAAAAUCCUCACAACUGGACCAAUAAGCAACAUCAUGAUAAAGGGAGAAAAGAUUGAAGUUGCCAAGGAUUUCAUUUUAGUCGGAUCCACAUUCAGUGCCCAUGGAAGCAGCAGUCAGGAAAUCAAAGGAUGUAUUGUAACGGGCAAGUCUGCUGCAAAAGACCUCUUUAAAGUGCUAAUAAGCAAAGAUAACAGUUCGAGGACUAAGGUGCAACUGACCCAAGCGUUGAUAUACCAUGUGAAAGCUGGACAAUGAAUAAGGAAGACCAAAGAAGAAUUGACGCCUUUUGAAUUAUGGUAUUUGCAAAGAAUGUUAAAUAUACCAUGGACUGCUGGAAGAAUGAACAAGUCUGUCCUGGAAGAAAUACAGCCAUAGGGCUCCUCGGAAGCAAGGAUAGUGAGUCUUUGUCUCAGGUACUUUGGACAUGUUAUCAGGAGGGACCAGUCUCUGGAAAAGGAAAUCAUGUUUGGUAAAGUAGAGGGUCAGUGAAAAAGAGAACGGCCUUCAAGGAGAUGGAUUGACACAGUGGCUGCAACAGUAAGCUAAAACAUAGCAAUAAAUGUGAGGAUGGAGUAAGACCAGGCGGUGUUUCCUUCUGUUGUACCACAAAGUCGGUGGCACCUAAGAAGUAAAACAACAAACUUUAGUUGCAUGGUUGUUGUUGUUAGAUGCUGUCAAGUCGGUUCCAACUCAUAGUGACCCUGUGUACAACAGAACAAAACACCGCCUGGUCCUGUGCCAUCCUCAUAAUUGCUGCCAUGCUUAAGCCCAUUGUUGCAGCCACUGUGUCAAUUCAUCUCCUUGAGAUUCUUCCUCUUCUUCGCUGAACCUCUACUUUGCCACACAUAAUGUCCUCCAGGGACUGAUCCCUUCUGAUAACAUAUGCAAAGUAAGUAAGAUGUAGUCUCACCACUCAUGCUUCUAAAGAGCAUUCUUGUUGUACCACUUCCAAGACAGAUUUGUUCGUUCUUUUGGCAGUCCGUAGUAUAUUCCAUAUUUUUCUCCAGCACCACAAUUCAAAGGCAUCAAUUCUUCCUCCAUCUUCCUUAUUCAUUGUCCAGCUUUCCCAUACAUAUGAGGCAAUUAAAAACACUGUGCCUUGGAUCAGGUGCACCUUAGUCUUCUAGGUGACAUCUUUGCUUUUCAACACUUUAAAGAGAUCUUUUGCAGCAGAUUUGCCCAAUGCAAUGCAUCUUUUGAUUUCUUGACUGCUCCAUUCAUGGGUGUUGAUACUGGAUUAAAGUAAAAUGAAAUCCUUGACAAUUUCAAUCAUCUCUUUUUAUCAUGAUGUUGCUUAUUGGUCCAGUUGUGAGGAUUUUUGUUUUCCUUAUGUUGACGUGUAAUCCAGACUUCAGGCUGUGGUCUUUGAUCUUCAUCAGUAAGUGCUUCAAGUCCUCUGUACUUUCAGCAAGCAAGACUGUAUUGUCUGCAUAACUCAGGUUGUUAAUGAGCCUUCCUCCAAUGCUGAUGCCUUUUUCUUCUUCAUGUAGUCCAGCUUCUCAGAUUUAUUUGCUCAUCAUAUGGAUUGAGUAGGUAUGGUGAAAGGAUACAACCUUGACACACACCUAUCCUGACUUAAAACCACACAGUAUCCCCUUGUUCUGGUUGAAUGACUGCUGCUUGAUCUAUGUACAGGUUCCUCACGAGCACAAUUAAGUGUUCUGGGAUUCCCAUUCUUCAAAAUGUUAUCCCUAAUUUGUUAUGAUCCACACAGUUGAAUGCUUUUGCAUAGUUAAUAAAACACAGGUAAACAUCUUUCUGGUAUUCUCUGUUUUCAGCCAGGAUCCAUGUGACAUCAGCAAUGAUAUCCCUCAUUCCACAUCCUCUCCUGAAUCCAGCUUGAAUUUCUGGCAGUUCCCUGUUGAUAUACUGCUGCAGCUCCUUUUGAAUAAUCUUCAGCAAAGUUUUGCCUGCAUGUGAUACUAAAGUUGCACCUGGUCCUCCACGGAAAUUAAUUUCUUGUGUGCUGGGAUGAUCUGCUGCUUCUCAAGACCAGCAAGGAAGGAGGAACAAGAUGAUCUUCCAUGGAAACAAACCAAACUUAACUCUUACAUAGAGGAACUACACUUUGGUCUGAUCUACUUUCACUCUUGUAGGAGGUUUUAAUAAAAUAAGCAAUAAAAUUGGAGGCCAGAUUUGGGGAUCUGUUGUAUUUAUUUUUCAGAUCGAUCUAUUGCUCUAGCCAGUUUUGUAAGAUGUGGAAGAUUUUUUCUCGUGCUUGAAUUAGUUCAGCUGAAUCACUAUCCAUUUGUUUGUAUAUGUCCGCACAGUGUGUUUCGCCUAUAAAGGAGAAAGAGAAAUACCACAACACCUACAUACCAAGUAUCCAAAGACCAGAUAUCCUUAACCCCCUGCUGUAUGUUAAAACAACCUGAAAUCUUGUUCAAACCAACCAUUACCUGAGCCCCAUUCUGCAGAGGUUCUGAUUUAAUUUGUCUGGGGCGGAGCUGGGCAUCAGUAAUUUUCAAAAGCUGGCUAAAAGUUGAUUAAAAUGUGCAGCCAUAAUAAAGAAUGAGGAUUCGUUUACUAAUAUAACAGGCUUUGAAUCAAAGAAGUAAGCUUCUCUGUAGAUCAAGGUUGGAAAAACUUUAUAUUUAUUAAAGUGAGUUACUGCUUGCGUCUAAGCAAUACUUCUGUGCUACAAACAAAUGAACAUUUCAGGGAAUGAUUAAGGUGGUAGACUUAGAGAAUGCUAUUCCUUGAGGCUUUUUUCUAUAUAUAUAUAUAUAUUUUAUUGUGCUUUAGAUGAAGGUUUAAACAGGGCAAACUAGUUUCUCAUCAGUUAGUACAAACAUUGUUUUAUGACAUUGGUUAACAAUCCCACAACGUGUCAACACUCUUCUCAACCCUGGGCUCCCUAUUACCAGCUUUCCUGUUCCCUCCUGCCUUCCAGUUCCUGCCCCAGGGCUGGUGCACCCCAAUCUUUGGCUGAAGGGUGAACCUCAGGGGUGAUCUCAUUACUGAGCUGAAAGGGCAUCCAGGGGCCAUACUCUCAGUGUUUCUCCAGUCUCUGUCAGAUCGGCAAGUCUGAUCUUUCUUUUUGAGUUAGAAUUUUGUUCUAAAUUUUUCUCCAGCUCUGUCCGGGACCCUCUAUUGUGAUCUCUGUCAGAGUAGUUCGUGGUGGUAGCUGGGCACCAUCUAGUUGUACUGGACUCAGUCUGACAGAGGCUGUGGUAGAUGUGGUCCCUUUUUCUAUAAUUUAAUAAACCUUUUAAAAACAUUAAAAUUUGCAUGUUUAAGAGUCUUACUUUUCAUUGACAAAGUCUUAAGGCUUCAAGGGGGGUUUGAGCUGGAAACCAUGGUGAAGGCUUUUAUAAAUAUCACAUUAGCUGAAUAAGCAGCCAAUUUUUAUUUUGCAGUAGGAAUACAAGUUUUAUCCAGUACUGAAAAUAUAUUGUUGGGAUUAUUUUACAAAUAAUUUCAGUAGCCACAACACAUAAAAUGGAUUACAUGGAAAGAUUGUGUGUUCCAAGUGGAGUUACUGCUCUAAGAACCAAGGAACCAAGCUGUUGUGCUGUUGGGCACUUAUUUAUCUAGUGUUCAGAGCCCUGAGACUAAAUAACUUAUUUUAAUGAGUAACUACAUUCACAAAGAAAAUUACUUCGUCUCACUUGAUUUUCUGAAACCACAUAAAUUUCUUUAAAAAAAAAAUCAAGGACAUUAGGCAAGCAGUUCAUUUUAUAUGCACAUUUGUUGUCUGUGCUGAUUAGUUUUGAAUGCCAGCAAGAUGGAGAAAUAGUGUUGUUGUUGUUCGUGCCAUUAAGCCGCCUCCGGCUCAUAGCGACCCUAUGCACAACAGAACUAAACACUGUCUGGUCCUGCAUCAUCCUCACAAUUAUUGCUACGCUUAAGCCCAUUGUUGUAGCCACUGUGUCAAUCCAUCUUAUUGAGGGUCUUCCUCUUUUUUGCUGACCCUCUACUUUACCAAGCAUGAAGUCCUUCAACAGGGACUGAUCCCUCCUGACAACAUGUCCAAAGUCUGUGAGACGCAGUUUCCACAUGCUUGCUUCCAAGGAGCGCUCUGGUUGUAUUUCUUCCAAGACAGAUUUGUUCAUUCUUUUGGCAGCCCGUGGUACACUCUAUAUUUUUCACCAAUGCCAUAAUUCAAAGGUGUGAAUUCUCUUUGGUCUUCCUUAUUCUUUGUCCAACUUUUGGAUGCAUAUGAGGCGAUUGAAAACACCAUGGGUUGGGUCAGCAUGCCUUAGUCUUCAAGGUGACAUCUUUGCUUUUCAACACUUUAAAGAGAUAUUUUACAGCAGAUUUGCCCAAUGCAAUGUGUCUUUUGAUUUCUCGAUUGCUGCUUCCAUGGGUGUUGAAUGUGGAUCCAAGUAAAAUGAAAUCCUUCACAACUUCAAUCUUUUCUCUGUUUAUUAUGAUGUUGCUUAUUGGUCCAGUUGUGAGGAUUUUUAUUUUCUUUAUGUUGAAGUGUAAUCCAUACUGAAGGUUGAGGUCUUUGAUCUUCAUCAGUAAGUGCUUCAAGUCCUCUUCACUUUCAUAAAGCAAAGUUGUGUCUUCUGCAUA